GUAAAGAGCUCGUAGGUGGUUUGUCGCGUUGUUCGUGAAAUCUCACGGCUUAACUGUGAGCGUGCGGGCGAUACGGGCAGACUUGAGUACUGCAGGGGAGACUGGAAUUCCUGGUGUAGCGGUGGAAUGCGCAGAUAUCAGGAGGAACACCGGUGGCGAAGGCGGGUCUCUGGGCAGUAACUGACGCUGAGGAGCGAAAGCGUGGGGAGCGAACAGGAUUAGAUACCCUGGUAGUCCACGCCGUAAACGGUGGGUACUAGGUGUGGGUUUCCUUCCUUGGGAUCCGUGCCGUAGCUAACGCAUUAAGUACCCCGCCUGGGGAGUACGGCCGCAAGGUUAAAACUCAAAGAAAUUGACGGGGGCCCGCACAAGCGGCGGAGCAUGUGGAUUAAUUCGAUGCAACGCGAAGAACCUUACCUGGGUUUGACAUGCACAGGACGCCGGCAGAGAUGUCGGUUCCCUUGUGGCCUGUGUGCAGGUGGUGCAUGGCUGUCGUCAGCUCGUGUCGUGAGAUGUUGGGUUAAGUCCCGCAACGAGCGCAACCCUUGUCUCAUGUUGCCAGCGGGUAAUGCCGGGGACUCGUGAGAGACUGCCGGGGUCAACUCGGAGGAAGGUGGGGAUGACGUCAAGUCAUCAUGCCCCUUAUGUCCAGGGCUUCACACAUGCUACAAUGGCCGGUACAAAGGGCUGCGAUGCCGCGAGGUUAAGCGAAUCCUUUUAAAGCCGGUCUCAGUUCGGAUCGGGGUCUGCAACUCGACCCCCGUGAAGUCGGAGUCGCUAGUAAUCG
RNAcentral lists this ribosomal RNA (787 nucleotides) under uncultured bacterium. RNAcentral's name for it is "bacterial SSU rRNA". It matches the Rfam family "Bacterial small subunit ribosomal RNA", at positions 560 to 1344 of the family's 1533-position model. The record is from RNAcentral.